CUUUAUUAUUUUCUUCAUUUUUCAAGAGAAUUCUAGAGAGAAAACACAAGUAUACACCUCCAUAAAAGCUUGCUUUCAAUUUUGUCUAGUGAAGAAAGGAAAGCUUUUCUUCAAAUUCUAAAUCAUUUAAAGUGUUCCUCUCAUCCUCAUCUUUAUCUUCAUAUCAAUUUCUUUUAGGUAAAUUUAGAUAUAACUCUCCUUCUUUCCACUUGAAGUUUUGGUCAUGUGGUGUUUAUGAAAGAAACUACAUGUUUUUGAUAUUUUUGCUUGGAAAAUCAUAUUUAGAAGUCUCAAGGAGUAAGAAAAAUACCAUAACAAGCUUGAAAAAGGUGCUCUAAGAAGUUGAAAGCUACAAAGUCUCAAGCUUAAAGGGUACCCACUUCUUCCACUCUUCCUUUGCCGACGAGGUUUGGAUCACGCCUUAGAAGUCUACCGACCUCAUCAGAAGGACGACUUAUACCUCAGCUCAAGCUGGCAGAGCUAAUAACACUCGAUGAAAAGAUGAUGCUGUCUAUUUUGCUACGUCCUAGAGUUAAAGUGCCUUUAUGUUUUAAAGACGGCCGAUGUCAUAUGAAGUUACGAAGCCUAGAAUAUUUUUUUUCUUUUCUUGUUAGUAUUUUUUUUAGUGUUUAGACUUUUCUAGUUCAGGUUUCAGACUAGAGGUUUCUUAGAUGGGCUAGGAUGUAGGGUCAUGUUUAAAAGAGUCUGUAUUAUAUAUAUGAAAUAUCAUAAGCUAAGAAAUCUAAUAUUUGAGUUAACAUGUGUUAUGUUGUACUACUGGUACUACUUUUACUCCUUGGAUGUAUGAAUGAGAAUUGUAUGCCUAU
Molecule: long non-coding RNA, 827 nt
Organism: Arachis stenosperma
Lineage: Eukaryota; Viridiplantae; Streptophyta; Magnoliopsida; Fabales; Fabaceae
Exons: 4
Source: RefSeq, a predicted model, not a curated record